RNAcentral lists this small nucleolar RNA (206 nucleotides) under Oryzias latipes (Japanese medaka). RNAcentral's name for it is "Small nucleolar RNA U3 (ENSORLG00000026234.1)". It matches the Rfam family "Small nucleolar RNA U3". From Rfam's summary of the family: Small nucleolar RNAs (snoRNAs) are involved in the processing and modification of rRNA in the nucleolus. There are two main classes of snoRNAs: the box C/D class, and the box H/ACA class. Lineage: Eukaryota; Metazoa; Chordata; Actinopteri; Beloniformes; Adrianichthyidae. The record is from Rfam by way of RNAcentral.
AAGACUCUACUUGCAGGGAUCAUUUCUUUAGUUUGGAACUAGAGGAUUGUGUUUCUACAGAGGUUGGUCUUGCUGUCCAUGAUGAUGAAUGAAGAUGUUUCCUUCAGAGCAGGAAGCUGGUGAGAAGAUGAGAAUCUUCUUCACUGACGAAGACUGUUGAGUGUUUCUGGAUGUGACACUGAAGGAGGCAACAUUGUCUGAGUGGA